Acanthochromis polyacanthus (spiny chromis) is the source of this 806-nucleotide long non-coding RNA. RefSeq lists it as uncharacterized. The record is from RefSeq and is a predicted model, not a curated record. The transcript has 3 exons. Lineage: Eukaryota; Metazoa; Chordata; Actinopteri; Pomacentridae.
GUCCAGCAGAGUCUCAUUGCCUCUCAUGUGCUCUUUCUUCGUCAGGCCGGACAAAACACGCAGGUCGUCUUCGUAGUAGCACUCCUGAUCCCCGCUAAACCUGAGACACAACAGUUCCAGAUACAUAUGGACAAACAGCGGGUAGAAGACCUGGGACAGCUCGGCUCUGUGGCAGUCCAAAACGGUCUCUAUGAACUUCUUCAGGCUGCUGUAGUAGACCUCGUACAGAGCUGGAUCUCCCUGCUGGCUGUAAGCUGACAGCACCACGCUGACGUCUGGCUGAUCCUCUCCAGCUGCUGCUGAAACAGUGAGGUACAAGACCCCAAGACACCCCACACCCAAAAUUUCCAACAAAAUCUACGCCCAUGAAUGGGAUUAACUGGAAAGAGCUCAUGAAUUACAAUUUUUUUUGUCAAAGUUGGAUGUUUGUUAUUAUAUGCAUACCUGAAAAACAGAACUGUUUCGCCUCUGUGUUUGCAAUGAGACAGCUGCAUCAAGUGAUAUGAAGGAUGCACUACUAGUUAAUGGUCUCGGGUUCAAAAACUUUAUAAAUGCAGCACUAAAGUCCAAAAAGACAACAAAGACGUGAGGAACGUCGGACAAUGUGAUGAAAUCUAAGCAGCCUGGCAAAAGCAUUACUAAACCUCUCACAAAAGCACCAUGAGCUCUUACAUGGUAGCUAAUGUAUUUUUCCUCUGUAGAUGUACAACUACGUUGUUAAUAAUGAAAGGAAACUUGUUUAAAACGCGUGAGUCGGUGUUUCAAAUGUAAACUCGGCAGCAGUCAGGCUGAUCCGUACCUUUGAU